GGGGCACCCCGAGGACUCCAGCGCGCACCGAAAGGAUUAUUCGGGGAGAUCCUCAGGGUGCCCGGCCCUGGGGAGCUCAAAGCAAGGUCCCUGCAAUGGAUUCAGGCAUUCCUGAGAGUAUCCCAGGGGUCCCUGUCCCUGCUAGACAUGGAGCUCUCUAAUGGACUGUAAUUGGGUUCUAAAAGUGGUGCUCCAAGUGCCAAAGCAGUGUGGGAUUGGGAUUAAGAAAUGAGCAGUGAUGGUGCAAUUGGCUGUUUUGUCUUGAAUGUAAUGGUAAGAGCUGCAGGAGUGCCAGGUGUGUGUUCCAGUCCCCAGCAUUUGGUUUGCACAUGUCCUGGUCAGACACAGGUCCAACUUCCUCAGUCCUUAACCCAACAGAGAGGGAAUGAAGGACUGGCAGUGUUAAGGUGACUGGUGUGACAGGGGUUAAACUGGGAAAACAUUGGGGAAUUCCUGAGUUUGUCUCUUUGCCCAACUCACCCAAACCUGUGCUAGGAAGAGACUUCCUGAAAAACUUGAGGCAGAAAUGAAAUGGAAAACUGGGGAUAAUGAAACUGUAAUUGCUGAAACUAAAUGUGUCCAAGCAGCAGCUCUUGUUGUGCAGGGAAUAACUCCUGUCAGCAGCAAGGUCCUGACUGAAGUGGCAGCUGCAGUUGUUCCUGUGGUGUGGGCCAGUGGAAUUGCAGGAGAGUGGAAGAGGGCAGAACCUGACGUGAAUGCAAGAACCUGCCAAGGAACCAAUGGCCAAGGUGUCUGAUUAGUGCAGGACCUGAGAGAACCCCCUUGAAUGACAACCUCGAGCAGUUUCCCGUAUUGGAUUAAAAAGAUGGCCUUUGCUGCAUCUCCUUGAGCAAGGAAAGCCAAGAAACCUUUGCUUUGGAAGGAGAAAAUCUGGAAAGCAGGAAGGAAGAAAAGCAGCCCCCUGACUCCUCCCUGAGCCCCAGACAGCCCAUGAACUGCCUUCUGGGAAUGGUAGGACAGGCUGGACUCUGGAUUGCUCCCUCUGGAUGUGUGGAACUCCAGGAACUCCUGGUGCCGCCUGGGCCGAUGGAUUGGACGCCCCAGCCCCUCCGUUCCUGCCCAGCCCCUGGGUCCGUGUCCAGUGGUGGCACUGCCAGCCCUGCAGGUGAAGUGGGAAGGGCCUUUCCAGGUCUUGUGGGUCACAUUGAUAGCAGCUGAAGUUGCAGAAAAAGGACCUGGGGUCUGUUGUUCUUUAGUUCAGAAAGCUCCUUUUGGUUGGUGAGCAGGACAAAGUGGAUCCUUCAGAGUUCCCAUCCGUGUUUGUGUCUCAGCCUGUGUUAGGAUUCAGGGCUGUAGCUGUUGUUGUCACUGAGGAGUCAAACUCUGCUUUAAAUCAUGAGACACUGGCCUGAUGGCCCAGUGUCAGGAAAAAAGGGGGAAUGCUCUCUGAGUGUUGAGAUGUAACAAGAGCUGAUCCUUUUUGCAGUUGGAUGUAGCCUGGAAAGUGCACAGAACUGAGCUAAGGGAUUGAAAGGGACCAACCAAGGGAGGUGAAGAAAGAAGGAAGAAGGGAAGUGAGGCAGCAGCCAAGCAGUAGCAAGUUGCUGUGUAAGCAGGUGAGUUGUGUUGAGGUUCCUAAGGCAGGCACUGAGGACUUUGAGGGCUCCAGACAGAGCAGACCUGGGAAGGCCCUCGGU
Molecule: long non-coding RNA, 1658 nt
Organism: Pseudopipra pipra
Lineage: Eukaryota; Metazoa; Chordata; Aves; Passeriformes; Pipridae
Exons: 3
Source: RefSeq, a predicted model, not a curated record